Molecule: unclassified non-coding RNA, 256 nt
Filed under: Hevea brasiliensis (rubber tree)
Lineage: Eukaryota; Viridiplantae; Streptophyta; Magnoliopsida; Malpighiales; Euphorbiaceae
Source: RNAcentral
GAGAACAAUAAAAUAAAUUUCCUACUUUUGUUUUUAGAAAUUUCUGUCAAAAUUCUUUUAUUGUCUUUCUUUCUCCUCACGUCAAAUUUCAAGCCCAUCUCAUUUUGUUCCUUGGAAUUCAUUUUCUUUAUUUGUUAGGAAUUUUAUCAAAUCAUCUAAUUCCCGCAAUCUCCCAUAGAUCUAUAAAUUUGAACAAGAGAAAGAUACUGUAAAUUUGAACUAGAGGAAGAUACAGAGAAAUGGAUAGAAAUUGGGG